AAAACCAUUAGAAACAGCCAAGUUACCGAUGAAGGAUAUCCAUGUAAAAGUAUCUGAACGACACAAGAAAG
This is a long non-coding RNA of Protobothrops mucrosquamatus (brown spotted pit viper), 71 nucleotides long. RefSeq lists it as uncharacterized. The transcript is spliced from 3 exons. The record is from RefSeq and is a predicted model, not a curated record. NCBI's taxonomy places the organism in Eukaryota, Metazoa, Chordata, Lepidosauria, Squamata, Viperidae.